This 327-nucleotide ribosomal RNA is filed under the name Triticum aestivum (bread wheat). RNAcentral describes it as "partial small subunit ribosomal RNA". The record is from RNAcentral. Lineage: Eukaryota; Viridiplantae; Streptophyta; Magnoliopsida; Poales; Poaceae.
AUGUGCACCAAGCUGUCGCUAUAUAGCAUCCGGCCAUUAGUUUCAACCAAAACCAGCCUUCCAACAAUCGCUGAAACCGUACUCGUCUAUCUAUACAUGGAGAAGUGCACGAUGCGCGUCCAGGCAAUAUUGUUCCUUCUCGUAUGCUUUGCUAUCUAUUCACAAUGUCGAGGAAUAGGCGUGCAACCUGACUCCCAACACGGAUGCUAUGGUUCUGCAACGUGCUAUAGCUGCCGCCCCUAUGAUAUGUGCUACCCGACAAUGGAAAUUUGCAAAGCCCACUGCCCACCUCCAGACGCAGCUACCUCCUCCGCAUUUCCUCAUUAG